Calidris pugnax (ruff) is the source of this 2815-nucleotide long non-coding RNA. RefSeq lists it as uncharacterized. The record is from RefSeq and is a predicted model, not a curated record. Lineage: Eukaryota; Metazoa; Chordata; Aves; Charadriiformes; Scolopacidae. The transcript is spliced from 3 exons.
AACACCUAUUUCAUCUGGAAUACUGUAUAUACUCUCACUCAUAGAUAUUCAGGAAAGAUUCAUUAAAACCAGAACUUAACCAGAAAAAGGUGAUUGGUCUGAUUAGGAAAAUAGGAAAUUGAAAAUUUACUCAUUUCAAGAAGUUAAAGGAUGAUUGUUAGUUAAAGGUUAUUGGCCCAAACAACCAACCAUUGAAGUCCAUGGUUUUUCUCUAAAAGCACAAGAAGGAGGUAAAUUCAGGAGAUUUUUAAGGUCUGUUUUAGUGAUGCAGACUGUGUUGAUACAGGAGCUGGCAGUUACCUCAUCCAAACUGGAAUAAAAAGAAGAUUGAUAACUGCCAGGGGAUUGAGUUCCCAGAGCACUCUUCCAGUUGCAGUAGUGUAGGUGAAAAUUAAAUCAACCCCAAAUCUUUAGAUAAGGCCUAAUAUUUUAAGGAAAGGGAUUGUAUGCUAUAGUUGCUUUCAGUGGCACAAAACUGUCAUGAAUGACCCAGGAAGUCUUUGCAGUCGUUUUGUAAGAUAAGGUGGCAACAACAAAGUCACGGUGAAACUAAACUUUUUACUUGCAAGGAGGUGAAGCGGUAAUAACCCAUUUGAGUGGGUUCACCUAUAUUCAGGAUAAUACAUUGAGGCUAUAAAAGGAAAAUUACUAAACUCACUGGUGUAUACGCAUGAAUUGUGCUAAUGGACCUGGAUAGAGAAUAAUUAGGAAGCAGUGAGUAAAAUUUCGCAGCUCUGACUGCUGCAAUUACCUCGACAAUUUCAGGAAGGUGCCAACACUAGCGAAGUGUGGAUCAGUGCACUUUUCCAUCCGUUGUCAAUCACAACCUUGAGCAGGUUCUCCAGAAAAAGGGAGGUAAUGGGGUGUAGGGAGGGCAGUGUCGUGAGGUACUGGAAAUGUUACUGCAACCUAAAGAAAGAAGAUCUUACAUCCCCAUGUCCUGCACAACCUUACCCUCCGCUGUCAAAACAUUUAAAUACAAAAACAUUUAUAUUAUGCCCAUCUGUUACCUUCCUUCCUUUUGCUCUUGUAAAGAAUUCAAGUUUUGAAAAUUCGUAUAUAAUAUUUCCUGCCUGAAUUUAUGGAGAAACACUGCACCAAACCAAAUUCUGCUUUGCACUUAAUCUUAAAAAACUGCUACGGUGCUUUAGCACAGAAAAACUACACUUCUUAACAAAGAUUUUUUUUUUCCAAGAAGUUCUUUUGCAUCUUUGUAGGACAAUUAAUUUUUCAUAAGUGAUUAUAGGGGUGAAAGAGCGGUAUGGUAUUACAUAUUAACUGGAGAGUAGAUGGAGUCAACCAAAAAUUCAUUGAACUGGAAUGGUGAAAAAAAUUACAGGGUGAAUAUUAAUCAUGUGAGUAAUAGUGAGCAUGUGAAUUAAGAGCUAUUGAAGUCAAACAUGGAGUUGUGAAUGUCUCGGCUGUUGGGCUGGAGCCUGGCUCCUCCAUGAGCUUACACAACUGUGUUAGGCUGAGAUGUAGUGAAGGUCAAGCUCUUCUUCCAUGCCACUAUGGUAGUGAACAAACCAGCCCAGGACACAGUGGUGAUAGAGACAUGUUAACUAUUUCCUACUAAUUUCCUCAGGUGUAGGAGGAGGUUUGAGGCACCUUCGGUCGUAUUCAUUUGCAACACGUAGCCCUGUAGUUCAGUGUGAGCAUUGAAGAAGUCGGCUCCUACUUUUCAUUGCAGAACCAGUGCUUCUUUGGAAGGUUGUGUGUGUAGAUACAGUGCAGGCCAGCUGAAAAUCUCACUUUUAUCGAACUCACUUUUCUACAAAGAACAACAAAGAACUGAGGACUUGAAUGAAAACUUUUUCCCAGAUCACUUACUAAGGGUUCAACUUCUCUAUCACUAUCUUACCUGCCUUUUCCAUCCUUCUCUUUUUUUCAGAUGAGUACCUGGCUACGUUUUGUUCUCAGGAACCUCCUUCCUCCCUCUGGAGCUGACCUCUGGAUGCUCCCUGGUUUCACAGAUGAGCUCGGUCUGAGGGGUUUAUUCACAGAGAAUCAGGAGACAGUCUUCAAAAUGACCAGUGAACUGAAGAAGCUGGGCUGGGAGCAUCUGUAUCUUCCCAUUUGAAAACCUCGCCUGUUGCUUGCUCCUACCGAAACCUGGAAAUGCCGAUGAGGUGUGGCUCUCCCAUCCCUGGCAAAGUGGCUGAUGCGGCCUUCAGUUGGGAAAAUAUGGGUGCUGUCGCAUGACGAACGAGGCUUCCCCUGGGAGGGAAGUCACCUUCUUCCUCUCCAGCACAGCACCAGGGGUGUGACAAUUCCCUAACGCACAACGGAACCGCACAGAAAUCUGGCAGCUUUAUCCAGUUUGUAGUUAUAAGGAUCUGCUUCAUAAAAACAUCUGAAUCACGUUUCACACUACUUAGAGAGCUACAUAAACACAACCUGAUCCUCUUCCGAGGAUCUCAGCCUUAUAUCUGGAGACCAUGCCUCCUUUUUCUUUUUUUUUUUAUCGAGGGUCUUUUGACCUGUACUCCUUGCAUAAUUAUUGGGGCUUGCAUGAAUGCUGCUGGGUUCAGAUUCCUCUCAGAAGUGGCACUGUUGCUCUUUCUUCGCUUUUAAACACAGACACCCAAAGUUUCUUUGGCUGUGAUGCAUCAGGCAACUCAUUCUUCAUGCAGGAUGGGAGGGACACCACACAAAAAUCCUGCAGCCGUGCCUGUGGUGGGUGAGACAGCCCCUACGCCUCCUUGUCCUCUUUUUGCCUUUCCACCACUCUGCCUUCCUGGAUCCACUCUCUUUUGCCAGCAGAAGACUGCCUGGUGGGCUCUGGAGGAAGCCUGGGGUGAGGGGAGCAGAAGAC